UGGCUCAGAACGAACGCUGGCGGCGCGUUUAAGCAUGCAAGUCGAGCGGCAAGGGCCUCGGGCCCCUAGAGCGGCGGACGGGUGAGUAACACGUGGACAAUCUGCCCCCCGGUCGGGGAUAGCCCAUGGAAACAUGGGGGUAAUACCGGAUGCGACCGGCCGCGCACAAGCGCGGGCGAGGAAGGCGCCAAGGCGCCGCCGGGGGAUGAGUCCGCGGUCCAUUAGCUAGUUGGCGGGGUAACGGCCCACCAAGGCGACGAUGGAUAGCCGGCCUGAGAGGGCGAUCGGCCACAUUGGGACUGAGACACGGCCCAGACUCCUACGGGAGGCAGCAGCUAAGAAUCUUCCGCAAUGGACGCAAGUCUGACGGAGCGAACCGCCGCGUGAACGAAGAAGGCCUUCGGGUUGUAAAGCUCUGUUGUAAGGGACGAAUGUCUAGGGUAGUAACUGACCUUAGAAUGACGGUACCUUACCAGCAAGCCCCGGCUAACUACGUGCCAGCCGCCGC
RNAcentral lists this ribosomal RNA (508 nucleotides) under uncultured bacterium. RNAcentral's name for it is "bacterial SSU rRNA". It matches the Rfam family "Bacterial small subunit ribosomal RNA", at positions 20 to 518 of the family's 1533-position model. The record is from RNAcentral.